This 253-nucleotide ribosomal RNA is filed under the name uncultured bacterium. RNAcentral describes it as "partial 16S ribosomal RNA". It matches the Rfam family "Bacterial small subunit ribosomal RNA", at positions 524 to 776 of the family's 1533-position model. The record is from RNAcentral.
UACGUAGGGGGCUAGCGUUGUCCGGAAUCAUUGGGCGUAAAGCGCGUGUAGGCGGCCCGGUAAGUCCGCUGUGAAAGUCGGGGGCUCAACCCUCGGAUGCCGGUGGAUACUGGAUGGCUUGAGUUCGGGAGAGGGAUGCGGAAUUCCAGGUGUAGCGGUGAAAUGCGUAGAUAUCUGGAGGAACACCGGUGGCGAAGGCGGCAUCCUGGACCGACACUGACGCUGAGGAGCGAAAGCCAGGGGAGCAAACGGG